CAGCAGCCGCGGUAAUACGGAGGGGGCUAGCGUUGUUCGGAAUUACUGGGCGUAAAGCGCACGUAGGCGGCUUGGUAAGUUAGAGGUGAAAGCCUGGAGCUCAACUCCAGAAUUGCCUUUAAGACUGCCGAGCUAGCAGGUGAGAGAGGUAAGUGGAAUUCCGAGUGUAGAGGUGAAAUUCGUAGAUAUUCGGAAGAACACCAGUGGCGAAGGCGGCUUACUGGCUCAUACUGGACGCUGAGGUGCGAAAGCGUGGGGAGCAAACAGGAUUAGAGACCCCUGUAGUCCCUGUCUCUUAUAU
This 301-nucleotide ribosomal RNA is filed under the name uncultured bacterium. RNAcentral describes it as "partial 16S ribosomal RNA". It matches the Rfam family "Bacterial small subunit ribosomal RNA", at positions 509 to 809 of the family's 1533-position model. The record is from RNAcentral.